GACGAACGCUGGCGGCGUGCUUAACACAUGCAAGUCGAACGGAAAGGCCCUGCUUUUGUGGGGUGCUCGAGUGGCGAACGGGUGAGUAACACGUGAGUAACCUGCCCUUGACUUUGGGAUAACUUCAGGAAACUGGGGCUAAUACCGGAUAGGAGCUCCUGCUGCAUGGUGGGGGUUGGAAAGUUUCGGCGGUUGGGGAUGGACUCGCGGCUUAUCAGCUUGUUGGUGGGGUAGUGGCUUACCAAGGCUUUGACGGGCAGCCGGCCUGAGAGGGUGACCGGCCACAUUGGGACUGAGAUACGGCCCAGACUCCUACGGGAGGCAGCAGUGGGGAAUAUUGCACAAUGGGCGGAAGCCUGAUGCAGCAACGCCGCGUGCGGGAUGACGGCCUUCGGGUUGUAAGCCGCUUUCGCCUGUGACGAGGCGUGAGUGACGGUAAUGGGUAAAGAAGCACCGGCUAACUACGUG
This 468-nucleotide ribosomal RNA is filed under the name uncultured bacterium. RNAcentral describes it as "partial 16S ribosomal RNA". It matches the Rfam family "Bacterial small subunit ribosomal RNA", at positions 28 to 507 of the family's 1533-position model. The record is from RNAcentral.